This 484-nucleotide ribosomal RNA is filed under the name uncultured bacterium. Its description in RNAcentral is "partial 16S ribosomal RNA". It matches the Rfam family "Bacterial small subunit ribosomal RNA", at positions 28 to 523 of the family's 1533-position model. The record is from RNAcentral.
GACGAACGCUGGCGGCGUGCUUAACACAUGCAAGUCGAACGAUGAACCCGGAGCUUGCUCCGGUGGAUUAGUGGCGAACGGGUGAGUAACACGUGAGUAACCUGCCCUUGACUCUGGGAUAACUGCGGGAAACUGUAGCUAAUACCGGAUACGACCCUCGGCGGCAUCGCCAGGGGGUGGAAAGAAUUUCGGUCAAGGAUGGACUCGCGGCCUAUCAGCUAGUUGGUGAGGUAACGGCUCACCAAGGCGACGACGGGUAGCCGGCCUGAGAGGGGGGCCGGCCACACUGGGACGGAGACACGGCCCAGACUCCUACGGGAGGCAGCAGUGGGGAAUAUUGCACAAUGGGCGCAAGCCUGAUGCAGCAACGCCGCGUGAGGGAUGACGGCCUUCGGGUUGUAUACCUCUUUCAGCACCGACGAAGCGCAAGUGACGGUAGGUGCAGAAGAAGGACCGGCCAACUACGUGCCAGCCGCCGCGGUAA